RNAcentral lists this ribosomal RNA (510 nucleotides) under uncultured bacterium. RNAcentral describes it as "partial 16S ribosomal RNA". It matches the Rfam family "Bacterial small subunit ribosomal RNA", at positions 28 to 507 of the family's 1533-position model. The record is from RNAcentral.
GACGAACGCUGGCGGCGUGCUUAACACAUGCAAGUCGAACGAAGAGCGAUGGAAGCUUGCUUCUAUCAAUCUUAGUGGCGAACGGGUGAGUAACGCGUAAUCAACCUGCCCUUCAGAGGGGGACAACAGUUGGAAACAACUGCUAAUACCGCAUACGAUCUAACCUCGGCAUCGAGGAAAGAUGAAAGGUGGCCUCUAUGUAUAAGCUAUCACUGAAGGAGGGGAUUGCGUCUGAUUAGCUAGUUGGAGGGGUAACGGCCCACCAAGGCGAUGAUCAGUAGCCGGUCUGAGAGGAUGAACGGCCACAUUGGGACUGAGACACGGCCCAGACUCCUACGGGAGGCAGCAGUGGGGAAUCUUCCGCAAUGGACGAAAGUCUGACGGAGCAACGCCGCGUGAGUGAUGACGGCCUUCGGGUUGUAAAGCUCUGUUAAUCGGGACGAAAGGCCUUCUUGCGAAUAGUUAGGAGGAUUGACGGUACCGGAAUAGAAAGCCACGGCUAACUACGUG